ACUGGGUGUGGUGGUGCGCACCUGUAAUCCCAGAAACUUGGGAGUCUAGGGCAGGAGGAUUGCAAAUUUGAGGCCAGCCUCAGCAAUUUUAGCAAGGAUAUAUAAAUAACUUUUUGACACCCUGCUCAAA
This 130-nucleotide small RNA is filed under the name Marmota monax (woodchuck). Lineage: Eukaryota; Metazoa; Chordata; Mammalia; Rodentia; Sciuridae. The record is from RNAcentral.